Molecule: non-coding RNA, 785 nt
Filed under: Choristoneura occidentalis biennis
Lineage: Eukaryota; Metazoa; Arthropoda; Insecta; Lepidoptera; Tortricidae
Source: RNAcentral
AUAUAAAAUAAAUUUUUUAUGAUUUAUAAAAAUUUUUUAAAAUUUAUUUUACAUAUAAAUUUUAGUGUAAAUUUUUAAAUAUUUUAAAAAUAUUUAAUUUUAUUAAAUUAGUAAUUAACAUUAAAAAUUUAAGAAAUUAAGAUUUAGUAAUAUUAAAAUUAAUAACAAAUUUUGUGCCAGCAGUUGCGGUUAUACAAAAGUUAAAUUAAAUUUUAUUAGUAAUAAUUAAUAUAAAAUAAUUUAAUUUAAAUAUUAAAUUAAUAAGUGAAAUUUUAAUUUAAUUAAAAAUUAUAGUAGAAAUUGUAUGAUUUAAUAAAUUUUAAUAUAAACUAGGAUUAGAUACCCUAUUAUUAAAAAUUUAAAUUUAAAAUACUAAAAUAGUAAAUAAUUAUUUAUUUAAACUUAAAUAAUUUGGCGGUAUUUUAGUUCAUUUAGAGGAAUCUGUUUAUUAAUUGAUAAUCCACGAAUAAUUUUACUUAAUUUAUAAUUUUGUAUAUCGUUGUUAAAAAAAUAUUUUUAAAUAAAUUUAAUAUUUUAAAAUUUUUAAAAAAAAUUAAAUCAGAUCAAGAUGCAGAUAAUAAUUAAGAAUAUAAUGGAUUACAAUAAAUUUAUUUAUAUGAAUAUUAAAUUGAAAAAUUUAAUUGAAAGUGGAUUUAAAUGUAAUUUUAUUUAAUUUAAUAAAAUGAUUUUAAAUUAAAAUAUGUACAUAUUGCCCGUCGCUUUCAUUAAUAAGUUGAAAUAAGUCGUAACAAAGUAGAGGUACUGGAAAGUGUUUCUAGAAAGAA